This 482-nucleotide ribosomal RNA is filed under the name uncultured bacterium. RNAcentral describes it as "partial 16S ribosomal RNA". It matches the Rfam family "Bacterial small subunit ribosomal RNA", at positions 28 to 506 of the family's 1533-position model. The record is from RNAcentral.
GACGAACGCUGGCGGCGUGCUUAACACAUGCAAGUCGAACGCUGAAGCUCAGCUUUUGUUGGGUGGAUGAGUGGCGAACGGGUGAGUAACACGUGAGUAACCUGCCCCCUUCUUUGGGAUAACGCCCGGAAACGGGUGCUAAUACUGGAUAUUCACUGGUCUUCGCAUGGGGGUUGGUGGAAAGGGUUUUUCUGGUGGGGGAUGGGCUCGCGGCCUAUCAGCUUGUUGGUGGGGUGAUGGCCUACCAAGGCUUUGACGGGUAGCCGGCCUGAGAGGGUGACCGGUCACAUUGGGACUGAGAUACGGCCCAGACUCCUACGGGAGGCAGCAGUGGGGAAUAUUGCACAAUGGGCGCAAGCCUGAUGCAGCGACGCCGCGUGAGGGAUGGAGGCCUUCGGGUUGUGAACCUCUUUCGCUCAUGGUCAAGCCGCAACAAUGGUUGUGGUGAGGGUAGUGGGGAAAGAAGCGCCGGCUAACUACGU